This 488-nucleotide ribosomal RNA is filed under the name uncultured bacterium. RNAcentral's name for it is "bacterial SSU rRNA". It matches the Rfam family "Bacterial small subunit ribosomal RNA", at positions 30 to 509 of the family's 1533-position model. The record is from RNAcentral.
AUUGAACGCUGGCGGCAGGCUUAACACAUGCAAGUCGAGCGGUAACAUUUCUAGCUUGCUAGAAGAUGACGAGCGGCGGACGGGUGAGUAAUACUUAGGAAUCUACCUAGUAGUGGGGGAUAGCUCGGGGAAACUCGAAUUAAUACCGCAUACGACCUACGGGAGAAAGGGGGCAACUUGUUGCUCUCGCUAUUAGAUGAGCCUAAGUCGGAUUAGCUAGAUGGUGGGGUAAAGGCCUACCAUGGCGACGAUCUGUAGCUGGUCUGAGAGGAUGAUCAGCCACACCGGGACUGAGACACGGCCCGGACUCCUACGGGAGGCAGCAGUGGGGAAUAUUGGACAAUGGGGGAAACCCUGAUCCAGCCAUGCCGCGUGUGUGAAGAAGGCCUUUUGGUUGUAAAGCACUUUAAGCAGUGAAGAAGACUCUUCGGUUAAUACCCGGAGACGAUGACAUUAGCUGCAGAAUAAGCACCGGCUAACUCUGUGCC